GGGUCCCUACGGGGCGCAGCAGUGAGGAAUAUUGGUCAAUGGGCUUACGCCUGAACCAGCCAAGUCGCGUGAGGGAAGACUGCCCUAUGGGUUGUAAACCUCUUUUGUCAGGGAGCAACGCCGGCUACGUGUAGCCGGACUGAGAGUACCUGAAGAAAAAGCAUCGGCUAACUCCGUGCCAGCAGCCGCGGUAAUACGGAGGAUGCGAGCGUUAUCCGGAUUUACUGGGCGUAAAGGGUGCGUAGGCGGUCUUUCAAGUCAGGAGUGAAAGGCUACGGCUCAACCGUAGUAAGCUCUUGAAACUG
Molecule: ribosomal RNA, 305 nt
Filed under: uncultured bacterium
Lineage: Bacteria
Description: bacterial SSU rRNA
Rfam family: Bacterial small subunit ribosomal RNA
Source: RNAcentral